AUCCCAUGAUGAGGACAGGCGAGUAUGUACUCUUCCAACCUUUCCCAACCUUCUGGGAUGGAAUCCAUCCCCGUCUACUGGAAACUUGAAAUUCUUCCACGCAGGGC
Panicum virgatum (switchgrass) is the source of this 107-nucleotide small nucleolar RNA. The record is from RefSeq and is a predicted model, not a curated record. NCBI's taxonomy places the organism in Eukaryota, Viridiplantae, Streptophyta, Magnoliopsida, Poales, Poaceae.